Molecule: long non-coding RNA, 1401 nt
Filed under: Coturnix japonica (Japanese quail)
Lineage: Eukaryota; Metazoa; Chordata; Aves; Galliformes; Phasianidae
Description: lncRNA (ENSCJPG00005003380.1)
Source: RNAcentral
AUGGAGGAGACAUCGCGGAGAGCGCUACUACACCCAGCCAUGGUUUUCUGCUUUCAUUCUUCCGCUGCUUAUUUAUUUAUUCGGCGGAGGGAAGGCAGCGAUGCCGAGAGAAGCCGGCUGAGAUUUGUGCCGUGCACGUUGUGGGGUUUUUUGGGGGGUAUUUUUUGGGUUUGGGGUUUUUUUUGUAGGGUUUUUGUGUUUUUUUUUUUUGCAGUAGCAGUGCGCGCCUCCAUCUUCCUCGCCGGAUCGAGCGGGGUCUCAGGACGACGCGUCUCCCUCCCCACCUCCACUCUCCGCUCCCCCCUGCAGCGCGGCUCUCCUCCCGGGCACUGCCGCCCGCCCUCUCCCCCCCUCGGCUCCCGCUCAGCUCGGGCAGCGUCGGGACGUCUCUUAUCUCCACCGAAACCACCGCGACCGGCGAAACCCGAUGGCAAACUUACAGCCCUCCCGAGGAGGCUCUCUGAGGGCAGAACCCCUCCGGGAUUCACGGCACCCGGGGCGCCAAACGCAACCGCUCUCGGACCGCCUCCCCCUCCGCCCUCCCCGGGCCCGGCCGACAAAAGCCCCCCCGGGGGCCGCUCGGGCCCGGCCGCCAACAGGUGUGACUCGCCCCGCGUCCCCCCGCCGCCACGGGGGAAGCUGAGGCGCUGCCUGCCGCCCGCCCGCCGCAAAACUUUCCGCCCCCCGCCGCUCCGGGCCGGGCCGUCCUGCGGCACGCACCGCGGGCAGCAGCCUCAGAGCGGAGGCGUCCCGGGGCCGGGCCGGGCGGCGGCCGGCGCUUACCUGCCUCAGGCGGAGGGCGCGCUGCGCGGCAUGGCGGCGAGGCGGGCGGCGGGAGGCGGCCGGCGGCCCGGCCUGCGCUCGCAGGGCGCUAGGGCAGCAUCAAGGCAACUUAGGGGGAAGGCUGGCGGGGCCUAUUGUCUGCGCGGGGCGGCGGGGCGGCGGGGCGGCCUCCCCCCGCGGGCGCCGCGGCGCUUGGUACGGCCCAGGCAUUCAUGCCAAGCGGCUCUGGCGCACGGCGCUCGCCUCCCGCGGCUGCUGACAAGCCGCAAACGAGGCGCCCCCUCCCGCCGCCUCCCCCGCCCCGCCGGCGGGCGGGACGCGGCGCGGCCUCCCCCGCCUCGCGAGCACCGGCGGCGGCCACGGGCCCCCGGGGGCUUCAACGCCUGGGCCUCCCAACUGCGCGGGGAGCCGGGGCCUGGCCCGCAGCCACGGUGCCCGUCGAGCUCCGCAGACGAGCUGCUGGGCGGUGGGCACGUGCCCGUCAUCCCCAUCCCAGUGUCGGCUCCUCUUGAGGGGUGCAGGCCCGUGCCCCGAGAACAGCCAAAUUCCAGCUCUCUGGGGCUAACGUGGGAGCACGGUGAGGAAACUGGCCACACAACACCCCCGAGCUCGGGCUGA